GUGCUCUUCAGGCAGCACAUACACUAAAGCUGGAAUGAUACAGAGACUAGCAUGGCCCCUGCAUGAGAUGACACACGAAUUCAUUGCUGCAUAUUUUU
Small nuclear RNA from Felis catus (domestic cat), 98 nucleotides. The record is from Rfam. NCBI's taxonomy places the organism in Eukaryota, Metazoa, Chordata, Mammalia, Carnivora, Felidae.